Molecule: ribosomal RNA, 440 nt
Filed under: uncultured bacterium
Lineage: Bacteria
Description: partial 16S ribosomal RNA
Rfam family: Bacterial small subunit ribosomal RNA
Source: RNAcentral
CCUACGGGUGACAGCAGUGGGGGAUAUUGCACAAUGGAGGAAACUCUGAUGCAGCGACGCCGCGUGAGGGAAGACGGUCUUCGGAUUGUAAACCUCUGUCUUUGGGGAAGAAAAUGACGGUACCCAAAGAGGAAGCUCCGGCUAACUACGUGCCAGCAGCCGCGGUAAUACGUAGGGAGCGAGCGUUGUCCGGAAUUACUGGGUGUAAAGGGAGCGUAGGCGGCCCUGCAAGUCAGAAGUGAAAUCCAUGGGCUUAACCCGUGAACUGCUUUUGAAACUGUAGGGCUUGAGUGAAGUAGAGGCAGGCGGAAUUCCCGGUGUAGCGGUGAAAUGCGUAGAGAUCGGGAGGAACACCAGUGGCGAAGGCGGCCUGCUGGGCUUUAACUGACGCUGAAGCACGAAAGCGUGGGUAGCAAACAGGAUUAGAUACCCGAGUAGUC